AAAUGCAGUGAAGUCAUAAAAGUUAGGGAGCAAGUUGUCGGCUCAUUAGAAACCAAUUUUACAUCCAAUUUUCAGUUUAAUGUAUCUACAAACAGCGCAAUCACAGCUUCAUUUCCAAGUGGGAUUGCUGUUCAGUUUGAAGCCUGGAGGCUCAAUGUAGCAAGCUCACUAUUGCUGGCAUUAUUUAGAAGACACUAAUAACAUGACUUAGUACUAGCUUCAGUGAUCUACUGAAAAUAUGCUUUGCGACAAGAAAUCUAUGGAGACAAUCAGGGGCAGCCAGGAUGCACGGAUUGUAUACAACAGACCUGCUGUAUCCAGUGAAGAUGAUUUCUGGAUAAAUGAAAUCCCCAGGAGCCUUGGUAAAUAUUGAAGUGCCCAAACUGACGCCAACUUCCCCUGGGAAACGUUGCCAGUAACAAUAGCCUGAAGGCUCAGGUGAUGGUAUUUUCAAGUGUGCUUUUGAUACCUUUGCACACUCCUAAACUGUGAGAGAGUGGAGGAGAGUGCUGGCAGUUUAAUUAUGUGGGAAUACGAAUGGGAGCAGUGAGUGCCAGCAUAGCGAUAAUGAAUUCAUCCAAGAUGCUCACACACACCGCAACAACAUACCCCUCACAAACUGAGGCUACUGCAGCCACUGCUGAGGCGCUCUGCAUUUAUACAGUGCGACAAACUGAAGAAACUCCCAGAGCCUCAUCUGCUCAUUGUGUCCUGUUCCACCUGUGACAGUCUAAUCCUGAAGUCAAUCUGAGUUUGUGGAGUCACUAUAGCUGCUCCACCACAGUUUAAAUUUAAUCUGACUGUAAUUGCAGAAUACUUCAAGCAACCUUAUGCACAAAAAUAAUAUUUAAUUUCAUUACAUACCCAAGAUUACUAGAAAUAACUGACCUUGUCUUUCUUUAAAGUGCCCUAGAAUUCUGCCAGGGACACUUAACAUGUCGCUAUGAUCAGUUAUCUACAGGUAGAGAAUAAAUGCUUUGACCCACGGGCAGAAUAAAAAUAGCCCUUUUUAAUUCCUCUUGAACCCACCCAACGUCUAGAGGGGAAGUUAAAAUAGAAUCGUCAAUACACAUUGCAGAAAGCAGAGCAGUUUAUAUAAGAACUGGCAGGUGCUGGUCCGACAGAAUCAAAAUGGCUCUUCUGCCUUCUGCCAGCAACAGCAAUACAGUUCUUAUGUUCCCUGUUCCUUCUGGCAAUCCAUGAUUACUCCAAAAAUAUCCCUCAUACACCUUAUACUCAAGGAAAAGAGCCCAGGGAACAUACAUCUAGCUUUUGAGGUAAGAAGUCGGAUCUAUUCCUAAUAACACAUUCCAAAUAGUGGCGGCGUUGUGAUAUAAGCGUGCAACAAAUCAAUAAAAAUGUCAUGAAUAAGAUCAACUGGGGGUAAAUGCAAUUGAUCUAAGAGACACUGUAUCGUAAAACUCUUGCCAUUUAAAUAAAUAACAUGGACAUUAUCUAGCUCCAAAGAGACACUGUUAGAAAUGUUCAUAGGCUUCUAACACAAAGCACCCUCAUGUAUAUCUGCCACUGUUUUGAUUAGUUGAAUUGACCCCAUAAUUUUUCCUUGUCCACUUUAUUAUAC
Long non-coding RNA from Polyodon spathula (Mississippi paddlefish), 1582 nucleotides. RefSeq lists it as uncharacterized. NCBI's taxonomy places the organism in Eukaryota, Metazoa, Chordata, Actinopteri, Acipenseriformes, Polyodontidae. The record is from RefSeq and is a predicted model, not a curated record. The transcript has 3 exons.